Molecule: ribosomal RNA, 484 nt
Filed under: uncultured bacterium
Lineage: Bacteria
Description: partial 16S ribosomal RNA
Rfam family: Bacterial small subunit ribosomal RNA
Source: RNAcentral
AUUGAACGCUGGCGGCAGGCCUAACACAUGCAAGUCGAGCGGAUGAAGGGAGCUUGCUCCUGGAUUCAGCGGCGGACGGGUGAGUAAUGCCUAGGAAUCUGCCUGGUAGUGGGGGAUAACGUCCGGAAACGGGCGCUAAUACCGCAUACGUCCUGAGGGAGAAAGUGGGGGAUCUUCGGACCUCACGCUAUCAGAUGAGCCUAGGUCGGAUUAGCUAGUUGGUGGGGUAAAGGCCUACCAAGGCGACGAUCCGUAACUGGUCUGAGAGGAUGAUCAGUCACACUGGAACUGAGACACGGUCCAGACUCCUACGGGAGGCAGCAGUGGGGAAUAUUGGACAAUGGGCGAAAGCCUGAUCCAGCCAUGCCGCGUGUGUGAAGAAGGUCUUCGGAUUGUAAAGCACUUUAAGUUGGGAGGAAGAGCAGUAAGUUAAUACCUUGCUGUUUUGACGUUACCAAAAGAAUAAGCACCGGCUAACUUCGUG